UCCAUUUAGCGGGAAGGUUUAAUUAAAUGAUUAUUACUAAGAAGAGGGAAUUAAUAAGUAGAAACUAGACAUAAUACAAGUUAUUAUUAUGCCAACUUAAGGUACACUCUCAUAUAUGCAAAUGUGCAGAACUUGGAUGCAAACAGUUCAUGUAUUUGGAGGAACCUACAGCUCAUGUCAAUAAGUUAGCAAAGAUCUGUGGCAACUGUUUCAUGAACAGUUCAAGGUUUUAAUGUAUCAAGCAAAUGCCAACAAGAAGU
This 260-nucleotide long non-coding RNA is filed under the name Musa acuminata (dwarf banana). RNAcentral's name for it is "long non-coding RNA (MACU_LNC010278)". Lineage: Eukaryota; Viridiplantae; Streptophyta; Magnoliopsida; Zingiberales; Musaceae. The record is from RNAcentral.